GUGGUCAGAAAAUGAUAGUGCAAACUGAAAAAAAGAAAACAUGCCAUAUAUAUAUAUAUAACACACAAUGUUUCUAUUUCUCCUCUUCGGUUGUAGUGCUUGCCCUGGCUCUGAGUUUUCUGAACUAGAUUAUAAUGGUGAUUAAAGGUGACUUUCAAUGUUUUAUUCAAUGCUGUAAAUCCCACGGGAGUAACCGUUCUCCCUGAACUUUGGGCUGUUAGCUAAUAUUGUGAAAUUAUGCCAAAUCAGCAUGUUGAAUUCUGCAAACUAGAUAUCUCGAUUUGAAAUCCACUUUACUAAACUUGCUUGGCUUACUGAGCACAUUGAAAAUGUAGUUUACAAAUAUCUGAAGCCCUUAGGUUACGAUAACUAUUUUUUUUUUUUAAUCCAGAACGUUUAAACCAAUCAAUAGGUUGCAACAUAGAAAUAAAAGAUACCAUAGUACGUCUAACAGCAUGUAACACAAAAAGCAAAAAAUAUAUCUUUUUAGCAUUGGUCCUUUCAUUUCUUUAUACCUUAGAUAUCAGAUGUGCACAACAAAAUGUUAAAGCAACAAACUGGAACAAUAACUACUGAAACAGUAUAACUAUUCCUGCCUUCAAAUUACGGCUUACACAAAG
Molecule: non-coding RNA, 620 nt
Organism: Pelobates cultripes (western spadefoot toad)
Lineage: Eukaryota; Metazoa; Chordata; Amphibia; Anura; Pelobatidae
Source: the annotation of a GenBank genome assembly